AGUGAAAUUGAACUCGCUGUGAAGAUGCAGUGUACCCGCGGCAAGACGGAAAGACCCCGUGAACCUUUACUAUAGCUUGACACUGAACAUUGAGCCUUGAUGUGUAGGAUAGGUGGGAGGCUUUGAAGCGUGGACGCCAGUCUGCGUGGAGCCGACCUUGAAAUACCACCCUUUAAUGUUUGAUGUUCUAACGUGGACCCGUUACCCGGGUUGCGGACAGUGUCUGGUGGGUAGUUUGACUGGGGCGGUCUCCUCCUAAAGAGUAACGGAGGAGCACGAAGGUUGGCUAAUCCUGGUCGGACAUCAGGAGGUUAGUGCAAUGGCAUAAGCCAGCUUGACUGCGAGCGUGACGGCGCGAGCAGGUGCGAAAGCAGGUCAUAGUGAUCCGGUGGUUCUGAAUGGAAGGGCCAUCGCUCAACGGAUAAAAGGUACUCCGGGGAUAACAGGCUGAUACCGCCCAAGAGUUCAUAUCGACGGCGGUGUUUGGCACCUCGAUGUCGGCUCAUCACAUCCUGGGGCUGAAGUAGGUCCCAAGGGUAUGGCUGUUCGCCAUUUAAAGUGGUACGCGAGCUGGGUUUAGAACGUCGUGAGACAGUUCGGUCCCUAUCUGCCGUGGGCGCUGGAGAACUGAGGGGGGCUGCUCCUAGUACGAGAGGACCGGAGUGGACGCAUCACUGGUGUUCGGGUUGUCAUGCCAAUGGCACUGCCCGGUAGCUAAAUGCGGAAGAGAUAAGUGCUGAAAGCAUCUAAGCACGAAACUUGCCCCGAGAUGAGUUCUCCCUGAGACUUAGAGUCUCCUGAAGGAACGUUGAAGACGACGACGUUGAUAGGCCGGGUGUGUAAGCGCAGCGAUGCGUUGAGCUAACCGGUACUAAUGAACCGUGAGGCUUAACCUUACAACGCCGAAGCUGUU
This 913-nucleotide ribosomal RNA is filed under the name Salmonella enterica subsp. enterica serovar Oslo. Its description in RNAcentral is "partial 23S ribosomal RNA". It matches the Rfam family "Bacterial large subunit ribosomal RNA", at positions 2035 to 2925 of the family's 2925-position model. Lineage: Bacteria; Pseudomonadati; Pseudomonadota; Gammaproteobacteria; Enterobacterales; Enterobacteriaceae. The record is from RNAcentral.